UGUUUCUUCACUUUCAUUUUAGUGGUGAAUAAAUCAAAGCAGGCUGCUCCCUUUGGGACAUGGCAGGAUUCUGGAUUUGAAUUCAGAUCGGGCUCACUUCCUUUCACUGCGAGAAGAGGCAGUUCCCAUGUGAGGUGAAGGGCUGAGGGUCCAGCCUGCAGGAGCCCACGGCCUUUAGGAGGACAGCAGGAAGGCAGGUGAGUCACUGGAUACCUUAGGGUGGUGUGAUAAGUACUGUUAAGUUCUUCCAGCUGGUAUUUACUCAACACCUACUAGGUGCCAGGUGUUCUGCUAAGCCCUCUGGGGCCAGUGCUGUGCACAUCAGCUCUGCCCUCCCGGACCCUCCCUUGUGGUGGGUGAGGUUGACACUAGUGGCACGAGCACCGUGGAAGCACACAGAAGGGGCCUCCGAGCCAGACCAGUUGGUCAGGAAGGCUUCUCAGAGGAGCCGCGGCUUCUGGCUUACCGGAUUUUCCAAUGGUGGGCCUGGAGGUGCUGCCAGAUUGGAUUUUUCAGGAAGAACCUUUGAAAUCUUGCUCAUCCUUAGGUUCUACAAACCCGCCAGGCACAUUCCGUAAUUGGAGAACUGAGAAAAGCACUAGCCAGGUGUUUUCUAUUGCGUGCAGCCUGCACUCUGCCUGGUGAGUGGCUAUAUCCGCAGCCAUAACCACAAGGAGCCCUGUGGGAUGAGCUCUCCUAGGGCGGCCUCUCCGUCAGCCUUCCAGGGCACAGGAGCCAGCAGACAAGUCCCAGCAAGCCUGACCCGGCAGCGAGAAGAAUUUGGGGGUGGAAGCGUGGUUUUGAACCGCAGCCUUAGGGGUUCCUGCUGUACCGGGCUUCUGCGGUUUGCUUUCGGAUGAGAGGAAAUGGUUCCUUAAGAAAAGCCAUUCCAAUCUUUCUGUCUCGUUUUUUCCUGAGUUGCUCAACACCUUUUCAGACGCUCUUGUUUUCACAGAGAAGAACAAAGCCGCCUCCCGGAAGCCGUACCUGGGGUUUUGUUCUUGCCAAUACCGUGCAAAGCAGCAGCCCACAUGGCUUUGUAAGUCAGAAACAAGAACCCUUCAGUUCCGUCCAAAGAUCAAAAUCGCAGUAACGGAAGAAUAUGCUCCCAGUUUUAUUCAGAGCAUUCCCUGACAUGACCUCGUUGCAUUUUCAGAGCAGACGUGCGGAAGUGUAAAAUAAGAAGAUUUUCUAACGCUGGUGCUGCUUCAAGCUGCCUUGCCGGGCGCACAGAAGGACAGCCAGCUUCCAGCUCCUGAUGAGGUUUCUGACAUGGGUGGCUAACACUGUAAUGCAUACUCGACAGUGAAGAUCCCUGAGCACAGAGAAAUAAAAUGAACUGAUCAAGAUAAGACAAAUGAUAUUUAUGAGUACCUACUUUCUAUGUGGCAAACAUUGAAGAAUCAGAAAUGGACCACAUAGAAAGAGCCUGCUGGGAUGGAGUUUCCAUUAGAGAUGGGGAAAUGGACAAGACUUAAAGAGAGAAAUAUAAGAUAGUUACAGAUGGUGGUCAGGGAAGUCUUCUGGGAGGAGGCAACUGGAGUAGAGACCCAAAGGACUGACAAGGAGGAAAUGAACAGAUUCUCUAGGCAAAGCUUCAGAAAGCUGCCCAACCCCAGGAGAAAGGCUCUGCGUGGUCACGUCCAGCCUGUGCACAGUCUUUAACUCAGGGAACACCAGGCUGGUGACUGACUGAGACCGGUGCAGACUCGGAUGACCCUGACCUGGAUCUGUGAGCCCCUCUUCCCCAGAACAACAGCAAACCUGGACUCUGACGGCCUGGCAAAUUGAAAGGGGAAUGGAUACCCAGCCAGCCAGCCACCAGCCAGCCACCCUGUGCUCCCUGUGGACUGAGAGGGCAGACCCUGCCUCUAGCAUGCAUGGAUGUACAAAUCCAGGAGACGUGGAGCUGGGAAAGGCAGGAGUGAAGAUGAGAGUCUUGAGUUCCCGCCACCCGUCGCUGCUGUACCAAGGAUCACUGCCAUAACGCCCAUUCCUAACUGCAAACCACCUGGGAGUCCUGGUAGGAGGCUUACUUCUGAAGGGGGUUUUGCGCAUGUAGAAAAUCAAAUUUACUACUUGCUCUUUCUUCAGUGUUCAAUGUAAUUAUAUUUAUAAGUAUGUUAAGUGAAGUUUCUCUAAACAUUUAAACUUACAACUAAUAAAUCAAAAUGUAAACUUCACUACUCCUUUCAAAUUAUACAUUUUUGAAAAUUAUAAACCUUAGUUAAAUCCUCUUUCUCAAUAAAAUAAGCCUAAUGUGACCCAUUCCCUUAAGUGCUUCAAACACCUUAAAAACAGCCAUGCAAUUCACAAAGUACCAUAAUGAUUAAAAAGUGUAUUGCUGUAUUUAUAUCAACCUAUAAUAAAAUUAGUGACCCUAUAGUGACCCUAUAGAUACAGCUAAUUUCUUCAUUCUUUACAUACUUCAAUAUAUUUUAAUGCAUCUCUUCAGGUUGCAGAGACUUACCAAACAAAAAGUUUAUAGUAGGCAACCGAGAUUGUUGAAUUAUCAAUGAAUUGACUACUGAUCAGAACAAGGGAUGUGGUUAGGAUGUGCAAAGUGACUCAAACACCAGCAUUUCUUACCGGGUUCCUCUUAGAAUCAAGAUUAACUCAUUGUGUCAGUGAGAACGUCCACAGCCAUGCCUUUGCCUGUGAUUUUGUGUCCCUGCUGUCUCUUCCUUCAUUACAUCUGUAUCACAGAAUGUGUUAUGCUCUUCCCCAAAUUAUAUGUUGAAGUCUUAACCCCCAGGGCCUCAGAAUGAACUGUAUUCAAAAUUAGGCCUCUUUAAAGUGGUAAUUCAAGUGAGGUCCUUAAGGUGCAUCCUAAUCCAAUAUGGGUGGUGUCCUUCUAAGAAGAGGAGACUGGGAAACAGACACGUACAGAAGGGAGACAAUGAGAAGACACAGGGAGAAGAAAGCCAGCAGUCUGUAAGCCACACAGAGAGGCCUGGAGCAGUUCUCCUUCACAGUCUCAGAAGGAAACCCUGUAGACAUCUUGAUCUCAGACUGCUGGCCUCCAGACUAUGAAACAAUCCAUGGCUGUUUAAGUCUGGGGUGCUUCGGUUCAAUGGCCCUGGCAAACUGACAUAGGAUAUGCAGCCUGAAUUUACAAUUUAACUAGUUUUACAGUUUUUGCUUCUCAGUAAAAUGAGUUGAAUCAUCUGGAGGCUUUGUUUUCUAAGUGAUCAGAGGCUGACUUGAGCUAUCUGCCCUUCCUCCUGAAUUUUGACCCAUCCCUUAGACGGCAACCCACUGACACAUUUUCCACCUGACUCUUGUCUGCUGUCCCUUGAGCUCACGGGCCCUUCUGCUCUUGGUGUAAUUCCUGUCUCUUUUCAGAACCUUUUGCCCACCUCUCCCUACUAUGCCCCAAGGUGGGUAAAAAAAUAUGUCCCAAUACUUAUAAACAGGUACAUGAAAAACUAGGACAUCAUGUAUGUCAAUAGUUCCCUGCCAAAUUUAGUUUAUUUAAAAAUUGCCUUCACCCUUCUUUGGUAUUAUAAUUAUUACCACAUACCUUUUAAUGAACUUAUUUCAUCUUUGAAUGGCAUGGCUUUCUUAGAGAUUCAACACAUUCCAACUAGCUAUAGUUAAUAUUCUCUUUUGAUGCUCAAAUCAUCAUAAAGUGGCAAGUCGGAUUUGUUAAGAACUAUGACCUUUGCCCUUUCAGGGUGACACUAGAUAUUUUUAAGUUUCCUUGGCUUCUGGAAGUCACUGUAGCUUAAAAUCCAUUCAAAUGUUUCUCCCUCCCAAUACAUGGGAUCACUUGAUCUUGAUAGGGCUCAGUGCAGGCUACCCCAAGAUAUGACAGACAUAUUGAUUAUUUUGAAUUAAAGUUACCUCAGAAACAACCAGUGCAAAAAGGACACUCUGACCCUCCUCUCUGACCCCCGAGAACAGGAAAUAAAUCUCCCCUAGGGAAGGUCCCGUCCCUGCACCAGGGGGGGGUAGAGAGAUGUCCUUCGGCUGGACAUAGAGAGCUCAGGCUGGAAGGCUGUGUAAAACAACUCCUUAGUUUCUUCACUAAUUGGUUUCCAAGCCUAAAUUUCUUUGUCUUGUCAGUUUCACAGAUUUAUUGUCUCCUUGUCUAAGAGCUAUGAAAGCUGCCUGCUUUGGUCAUUUCUUUAAGUCUCAUAUUUCUAUGAGCUAAGGUACAUUUACAUGACAUUUUUCUCCUGUUAAUCUGUCUCAUGCCAAUUUAGUUAUUAGACCAGCCAAAGGAACCAAGAGGGUUGGGGAGGGGAUUUUCCUUUCCCAGACAGUCUCCAAGGAGUCUUGGUUCCUUCUGGCUCGAGAACUGGCUGUGCUGGGAGAGUGAGCCCUGGUGCCCAGGGUCAUGUGGGUCUCCCCGCUGAGGGCAGGGCUGGGAGUCAGCUGCUACCACUCUGCGGACAGAAUGGAAACAAACUAUUUCUAGUCAAGGUCAUGAAACUCACAUCUCUAAUUUAGAUUUUAAGAAUAAUAAAUUAUUUUAACUUCAAUAUGCCUAAAUUAGAUUUUAACCCAUCACCCCAGAUGUAAUUAUGUAUCCUUGUAUUUCUACUUUCUUUCUGUGUGUCAUCAGCUGCCAUUUGUAAUCACUUUAUUGACCCUAAAAAGUGCAAAGCACCUCAUAAAUUGUCUCUACAUCUCAUCCCUUGACUGUUAGCAUGGAUACAAAAUAACUCAGCCUAUUGUAUACAUGUGGGGAGCACAGAACAAUGACACAGGCAGGGCCCGUUGAGUGUAUUUCAUAGGAGUCAGCCUGAUUUUUAAGGAUGUAAUUUAUAUGCCCAAAGACCUUUACCUACUUGCCUCCCCUCUCAGGCCUUCAUUUAACUCAUCCAUCAUAUAUAUUUUUUUAUCUAAAAAAAAGGAAACAGAAAAGGCCAGAUUCCAAUUCUGUGAGUCAGGAACGAAUUAAAUCCAGGAUCAAAUCUGCUUCAUUCCCUGAAGGAUCUUUGCAGGAUGCAUGUGGUCCUGAGAGCUCUCUCCUAGUCCCAUAAAACAAACCACUGAGCCUCACUCAGCCGUUCUUCCCUCGUGUGAACUUGCAGAUUAAAAGUGUUAAACUGUGUGAGAGCACUUUAUAAACCUGAACCAUGUGCAAAUUGUCGGCAUUUCUAUCACAAAUUAACGAUCAUGAUAAUGAGUGAGUUAUUUCAGGCACUAGCUGUAAGGCACUCACCUAAGCGUCAGCAGCCAAGUCCUUACAAAGUCCUUCUAUAUUGGGGAUUUCCAGCUCAGCGCUCUACCUGCCAGAUUAUGCAGCAUUUCGAAUAUGAAAAUGAAUUCCAUGGAUGAGAAGCGACCGUUCACCCACGGGCGGGGCUCUCCACUUUCCCUGCACCCCUGUCAGGAAGACGCCUGACCGGAAAGGCCCCACUUACCUGAGAUACAGGCCAGUCCCCUAAGGACAGUGACGCCAGCUGCUCUGCCCCUAAGAAGCACAGCAGACAGCUGCGUUAGGGUGUAAAGCACGCAAGCCUUCCCGGCCUGUUUUAUUCAUUCCAGUUCCCAGGACAGCCCUCCAAACUGACUGAGAGGCACACCUUUGUCACCAUUUCAACAGAACCAAACAAAGCAAGCUCAUGAUACAGCAGUUUAAUCAGAGGACGCAAAUCACUGUGCUCCCAUUUCCCUCACCCUUUGGUACAGGUCCUGCCUUCUAGACAGGAAAGAACUCAGCUCAGACACGGGCAGGAAGAAAAGCAAAGUGACUCUGCGCACCCGCACAUGGAUGUGACUGGAAGGCAGGAGGGAUGGAGGGCCACACACACGCUGCUGCACUUCUCCUCACGUGAAACCAUUCAAAAUGUUUGGCUUGUGAAAUGACGUUGGUCAAACCUCUCUUUCCCGUGGCUAAGGAGUGAAAGGCAAGCAUUGCAAACAAUACAUGAUUUUUGUAAAUUUAUUUAUGACACAGAUACAGUAAAGUAUACUUUUACGUACAGUUUUAUGAGAUUGACAAAUGCCCACAAUCAGGAUAGAGAGCAACUCCAGCAGCUCUCAACUGCUCUGCAUUCCAACACUCCACUUAUCCUGUAACCCUGACAACCACUACCAGUUCUUCAUCGCCAUAGAUUUGCUCUUACCCGAUGUCAUAUAAAUGGAAAAUGGUCCUCACUCAUUUGCAUAAUGUCUAAUGUAUUUUAAAUCUGACCAUGUUGUUGCAUGUAUGGGUAAUUUGUUCUUUUUCAUGGCCCUGUAGCAUUCUAUUGUCUGGCUACACUGGUAUUUGUUCAUUCAUUCGUCAGUUCAAGGGCACUGGUAUUUCCAGGUUUCCAGGUUUUGGUCAUUAUCAGUAAAUCCACUAUAAACAUGUACAUACAUGUUUCUGUGUGAUGUAAGUUUUUACUUCGUUGGGUAAAUACAAAGAAGUGUGUUUUGUGAGUCCUAUUAUGAGUGUCAUGUUUAACUUUGUAAGAAACUGCUAAAGUGGUUGUACCAUUUUGGAUUCCAUCCUGCUGUAUGUAUAAGAAUACCAGUUAGUCUACACCCUUACCAGCACUUAGUAUCAUCGAGAAUAAUUGUUGUUAUUAUUAUUAUUGCUAUUAUUA
This is a non-coding RNA of Manis javanica (Malayan pangolin), 6545 nucleotides long. Lineage: Eukaryota; Metazoa; Chordata; Mammalia; Pholidota; Manidae. The record is from RefSeq and is a predicted model, not a curated record.